UACGUAGGGGGCAAGCGUUGUCCGGAUUUAUUGGGCGUAAAGAGCGUGUAGGCGGCCUGAAAGGUCAGCUGUGAAAACUCGAGGCUCAACCUCGAGACGUCGGUUGAAACCAUCUGGCUAGAGUCCGGGAGAGGAGUGCGGAAUUCCCGGUGUAGCGGUGAAAUGCGCAGAUAUCGGGAAGAACACCCGUGGCGAAGGCGGCACUCUGGGACGGUACUGACGCUGAGACGCGAAAGCGUGGGGAGCGAACAGG
Molecule: ribosomal RNA, 253 nt
Filed under: uncultured bacterium
Lineage: Bacteria
Description: partial 16S ribosomal RNA
Rfam family: Bacterial small subunit ribosomal RNA
Source: RNAcentral